GCCCGGAUAGCCAAGCCAGGAUUACGGCGACAGCCUGGAAAGCUGUUCUCCUCCGGGAGGCAUGAGUUCGAAUCUCAUUCCGGGCGCCA
RNAcentral lists this transfer RNA (89 nucleotides) under Candidatus Thorarchaeota archaeon. Its description in RNAcentral is "tRNA-Ser". It matches the Rfam family "tRNA". Rfam says of the family: Transfer RNA (tRNA) molecules are approximately 80 nucleotides in length. Their secondary structure includes four short double-helical elements and three loops (D, anti-codon, and T loops). Further hydrogen bonds mediate the characteristic L-shaped molecular structure. tRNAs have two regions of fundamental functional importance: the anti-codon, which is responsible for specific mRNA codon recognition, and the 3' end, to which the tRNAs corresponding amino acid is attached (by aminoacyl-tRNA synthetases). tRNAs cope with the degeneracy of the genetic code in two manners: having more than one tRNA (with a specific anti-codon) for a particular amino acid; and 'wobble' base-pairing, i.e. permitting non-standard base-pairing at the 3rd anti-codon position. The record is from RNAcentral. Lineage: Archaea; Promethearchaeati; Candidatus Thorarchaeota.